AUAUUUUCAAACAAAAAAAAAAUCUGUUCUUAUCAGUUUAAUAUCUGAUACGUCCCCUACCCGGGGACCAUAUAUUAAAUUGAUUUUUGGAACUGGGAGAUGGAAAAGGGGCUUGCCCCGUCCACUCCACGCAUCGACCUGGUAUUGCAGUACCUCCAGGACCGGUGCACCCCUC
The sequence is a small nuclear RNA, 175 nucleotides long. Its record names the gene U2. It matches the Rfam family "U2 spliceosomal RNA". Rfam says of the family: U2 is a small nuclear RNA (snRNA) component of the spliceosome (involved in pre-mRNA splicing). Complementary binding between U2 snRNA (in an area lying towards the 5' end but 3' to hairpin I) and the branchpoint sequence (BPS) of the intron results the bulging out of an unpaired adenosine, on the BPS, which initiates a nucleophilic attack at the intronic 5' splice site, thus starting the first of two transesterification reactions that mediate splicing. The record is from Ensembl.